Molecule: unclassified non-coding RNA, 335 nt
Filed under: soil metagenome
Description: partial contains 5.8S ribosomal RNA, internal transcribed spacer 2, and large subunit ribosomal RNA
Rfam family: 5.8S ribosomal RNA (bases 1-120)
Source: RNAcentral
GAUGAAGAACGCAGCGAAAUGCGAUAAGUAAUGUGAAUUGCAGAAUUCAGUGAAUCAUCGAAUCUUUGAACGCACAUUGCGCCCGCCAGUAUUCUGGCGAGCAUGCCUGUUCGAGCGUCAUUUCAACCAUCAAGCCCCAGGCUUGUGUUGGAGCCCUGCGGCUGCCGCAGCCUCCCAAAACCAGUGGCGGGCUCGCUAUCACACCGAGUGCAGUAGUUUACUCUUCGCUCAGGGCGUGUGGCGGGUGCUAGCCGUGAAACCCCCAACUUCUCAAGGUUGACCUCGGAUCAGGUAGGAAUACCCGCUGAACUUAAGCAUAUCAAUAAGCGGAGGGA